GACGAACGCUGGCGGCGUGCCUAAUACAUGCAAGUAGAACGCUGAAGGAGGAGCUUGCUUCUCUGGAUGAGUUGCGAACGGGUGAGUAACGCGUAGGUAACCUGCCUGGUAGCGGGGGAUAACUAUUGGAAACGAUAGCUAAUACCGCAUAAUAGUAGAUGUUGCAUGACAUUUGCUUAAAAGGUGCAAUUGCAUCACUACCAGAUGGACCUGCGUUGUAUUAGCUAGUUGGUGGGGUAACGGCUCACCAAGGCGACGAUACAUAGCCGACCUGAGAGGGUGAUCGGCCACACUGGGACUGAGACACGGCCCAGACUCCUACGGGAGGCAGCAGUAGGGAAUCUUCGGCAAUAGACGGAAGUCUGACCGAGCAACGCCGCGUGAGUGAAGAAGGUUUUCGGAUCGUAAAGCUCUGUUGUAAGGGAAGAACGAGUGUGAGAGUGGAAAGUUCACACUGUGACGGUAUCUUACCAGAAAGGGACGGCUAACUACGUG
RNAcentral lists this ribosomal RNA (495 nucleotides) under uncultured bacterium. RNAcentral's name for it is "partial 16S ribosomal RNA". It matches the Rfam family "Bacterial small subunit ribosomal RNA", at positions 28 to 507 of the family's 1533-position model. The record is from RNAcentral.